Molecule: transfer RNA, 70 nt
Filed under: Phrynosoma platyrhinos (Desert horned lizard)
Lineage: Eukaryota; Metazoa; Chordata; Lepidosauria; Squamata; Phrynosomatidae
Description: tRNA-OTHER
Source: RNAcentral
GCCCUGGUGGCACAGUGGUUAAUGCCUGUACUGCAGCUACAAGGUUGCAAGUUCAAUACCAGCCAGGGCU